This 486-nucleotide ribosomal RNA is filed under the name uncultured bacterium. RNAcentral describes it as "bacterial SSU rRNA". It matches the Rfam family "Bacterial small subunit ribosomal RNA", at positions 29 to 507 of the family's 1533-position model. The record is from RNAcentral.
AUUGAACGCUAGCGGCAUGCCUUACACAUGCAAGUCGAACGGCAGCACGGGGGGCAACCCUGGUGGCGAGUGGCGAACGGGUGAGUAAUGCAUCGGAACGUGCCCAUCGAUGGGGGAUAACUGCGCGAAAGCGUUGCUAAUACCGCAUACGACCUACGGGUGAAAGCAGGGGACCGCAAGGCCUUGCGUCGAUGGAGCGGCCGAUGCCGGAUUAGCUAGUUGGUGAGGUAAAGGCUCACCAAGGCGACGAUCCGUAGCUGGUCUGAGAGGACGACCCAGCCACACUGGGACUGAGACACGGCCCAGACUCCUACGGGAGGCAGCAGUGGGGAAUCUUGGACAAUGGGCGAAAGCCUGAUCCAGCAAUGCCGCGUGUGGGAAGAAGGCCCUCGGGUUGUAAACCACUUUUGGCGGGAAAGAAAUGGUCUGUGCUAAUACCACGGAUUGAUGACGGUACCCGCAGAAUAAGCACCGGCUAACUACGUG